RNAcentral lists this long non-coding RNA (520 nucleotides) under Bos taurus (domestic cattle). RNAcentral describes it as "long non-coding RNA NONBTAT009742". The record is from RNAcentral. Lineage: Eukaryota; Metazoa; Chordata; Mammalia; Artiodactyla; Bovidae.
UAAUUGAAGAAAUUUUUCAGAUAAAAGCAUUUGUUAUUACCAGGUUGGUGUACACCUUCUUAUCAUAAAGUAUGAGUAAAGACUAUUGAGAAAAUAUAAAGCAUAAACUCAGUUUGACAAUGUAAAUAUGUGAAUUUCUUUAAAGAAUUCAAAAUUGUCCCAUUUAAAUAAUUCUUUUCAAAAUUGCUUUUGGCAUCUGAAGGAAUAACAUAUAAAAGUUUGUCAGUUGUUAUAUGUUAUUAUCAUUAGUAGUACUGAAUAUGACAUUUUUUCCUGUCUUUUAUUAGGCGUAGUAUUUGCCAAGGCAUUGAUUUAUUUUCAAUACUCUUUCUUCUUAAAUGACAGCAGUGUUGAGAAUAUAGGCACUGUGUGUGCUCUUUUUCACUAGUUUUCCAGGAUAGUUAAAAAAUUAGUUAUUUCCACUCUGUAUGGAAAUUAAAAGAACAAUAGCAAAUUUCAUUAAUUUGUUUUCUUCUAAUACAUUUUUUAAUUUCCAAAGUUCAUUAACUUGUUCUCUUCU